CUAGUAAUGAGUUUUUAAUCCUAAGUUUGUUGCACUGUCAGCUGUCAGUCAGUCACAGACGGACAGUAUGACAUUACACGUCGUAAAUUUCAUAAGUUACAUAAGUUACUUAAAAAGUUUAACAGCAGAGAUCGGAUAGCAAGUCAACUGUUUUAAAAUAAUUUCAGCUGAAGUUUUCAUGUACCUGGCCAUUAGCUAGGUGCUCGUGACAAUAGAAAUGAAAUGAUCUAACCCAAUAAUGCAAGCUCACAACCUAUGUCUUCAGCAAAAUAAUUUUUGUUGCAAGUUAUUGAUGUCUUCGCCAGAUCCCAUUCUUUGUUGCUAUCUAUUUUGAGGACAACAGCAAGAAAGUGCUGCUACUCUAGAUUUGAUGGUGACCACCCCUUUGUUCUAAUUUAGGACAAUGUAAGAUUGAUUGAUUUUAGGUUAAUUCCUCUCCACUGUUGUAGUUGUUUGGAAACCAACGAGAGAUUGCUGGAAUUGAAGACUGAUAAUAUGUGUAGGUGUAGAUAAUUUACGAGUGCAUAUUUGGGCUCCCACCUUUUCUGUGGACUCCCUAACUAUCUAUUAACCAACGCCCGCCGGUGUGCAGUCAUCCGCUGUGAUAACCAACUGUAGGGGAAGGUGCUGGUCGAACGGUGAAUUGGAAGGGUGCAUGAUUUGAUGGAAGUUUUUGGAGGGUUUUAAUUAUAAAGCUUAGCAGAUUAUAUUUCCCCAGUGAAAUUGGCCUUGUAACUGGCCACAGGCCAGGUAUUUUACUUGGUAGUAGUCAGGCAAUGUAGUAUUACAUUUGUCUUGAUUAAUUGCAUGAGGUGUAGUGUUAAUUGGUUGGUGAUAGUGUUUUUAUUUUGCAAUAACUUAUUCUUAUACAAUUUUAUAAUAAUCAUUAGAUUCUGCAAUUAUUCAUGAUAUUUACUAACAUACUAAUAGUAAGUUAGUAAAGUACAUGGUAUGUUCCUAUGUUCUUUAAUAUUAAUUCAUUCAAGCUUAUCUAAAACUAACCACCCUCAAUC
This is a long non-coding RNA of Daphnia pulex (common water flea), 1013 nucleotides long. RefSeq lists it as uncharacterized. Lineage: Eukaryota; Metazoa; Arthropoda; Branchiopoda; Diplostraca; Daphniidae. The record is from RefSeq and is a predicted model, not a curated record. The transcript is spliced from 4 exons.